RNAcentral lists this ribosomal RNA (279 nucleotides) under uncultured bacterium. RNAcentral's name for it is "partial 16S ribosomal RNA". It matches the Rfam family "Bacterial small subunit ribosomal RNA", at positions 506 to 784 of the family's 1533-position model. The record is from RNAcentral.
UGCCAGCCGCCGCGGUAAUGCGGAGGGGGCAAGCGUUGUUCGGAAUUACUGGGCGUAAAGGGCGCGUAGGCGGCCUGCCAAGUCGGGUGUGAAAGCCCUCGGCUCAACCGAGGGAUUGCACCCGAUACUGGCAGGCUCGAGUCCGGGCGGGGGUGGCGGAAUUCCAGGUGUAGUGGUGAAAUACGUAGAUAUCUGGAAGAACACCAGAGGCGAAGGCGGUCUCUUGGUCCGAAACUGACGCUGAGGCGCGAAGGCGUGGGUAGCGAACGGGAUUAGAUA